RNAcentral lists this ribosomal RNA (253 nucleotides) under uncultured bacterium. Its description in RNAcentral is "partial 16S ribosomal RNA". It matches the Rfam family "Bacterial small subunit ribosomal RNA", at positions 524 to 776 of the family's 1533-position model. The record is from RNAcentral.
GACGAACCGUCCUAACGUUGUUCGGAAUCACUGGGCUUAAAGGGCGCGUAGGCGGGCGGCCAAGUCUAGGGUGAAAUCUUUCGGCUUAACCGGAAAAUAGCCUUGGAUACUGGCUGUCUCGAGGGAGGUAGGGGCCGUUGGAACUUCCGGUGGAGCGGUGAAAUGCGUUGAUAUCGGAAGGAACGCCGGUGGCGAAAGCGAACGGCUGGACCUUUUCUGACGCUGAGGCGCGAAAGCCAGGGGAGCAAACGGG